CGAUAAGUAUGUGAAUUGCAGAAUUCAGUGAAUCAUCGAAUCUUUGAACGCACCUUGCGCUCCUUGGUAUUCCGAGGAGCAUGCCUGUUUGAGUGUCAUGG
This 101-nucleotide ribosomal RNA is filed under the name Fomitopsis pinicola. RNAcentral's name for it is "partial 5.8S ribosomal RNA". It matches the Rfam family "5.8S ribosomal RNA", at positions 56 to 154 of the family's 154-position model. Rfam says of the family: 5.8S ribosomal RNA (5.8S rRNA) is a component of the large subunit of the eukaryotic ribosome. It is transcribed by RNA polymerase I as part of the 45S precursor that also contains 18S and 28S rRNA. Functionally, it is thought that 5.8S rRNA may be involved in ribosome translocation. Lineage: Eukaryota; Fungi; Basidiomycota; Agaricomycetes; Polyporales; Fomitopsidaceae. The record is from RNAcentral.